GUUGUUUUGGCAGCACAUUUACUAAAAAAAAAAUUGGAAUGAUACAGAGAAGAUUAGCAUGGCCCCUGCGUAAGGAUGAAUGCAAAUUUGUGAAACAUUCCAUAAAAAA
This 109-nucleotide small nuclear RNA is filed under the name Canis lupus familiaris (dog). Lineage: Eukaryota; Metazoa; Chordata; Mammalia; Carnivora; Canidae. The record is from RNAcentral.